UAAGGGACGGUCGGGCCGGGCGGCCGGAGGGGUCCAGGAGGUGGUCCCGCUGGACAGUAAAGUACCGCGGGGAGCCAGGGGCAGGUUUCCGUGUUAAGGUAGCUUUGAGGAACAGGAGAGCUGGGAUGAAAUUGCCAGGUGGGAAGCAGUGAGGGGUGGUGAGGGUAUUGGGAUGUUCCUGUGGCACAAAGCAAUGGUGAAGGAUGCACCUCUCCCUGGGGGGAACCGUGCUGCUGGUAUCGGGGUGUGCAAGGCGUAGAGUGUCCCUCCCAAGGGAGGGACCGAGCAGGGCAUUUCUUCCUGGGAAGAGAUAACAUGCACUAUCCCUAAACUCUGGAGGUCCACUAGAAGUUAAAGAUCGAGUGUUUUGCUCUGGCUUCAUCGCCUGGGUUUGUUCUCUUGAAGUGCUGAGAAGCAUGAACUCUGAUGGGAGGUUCUCCACAAGAUGCAGGAGAUUUGUAAACCUGUCCUCCAGUGUGUACCUGGUACAAUGGUUGUGUCCUCACCUGUAAGAGCCGGGCUAUGUCUUUCCAUGGACAGGACUGCUGACUAUAUUUUCUCACUACCCUGUAUCCUAUGGAACAUGCUUGAUGACACACAGUGACAUCUGUUCAUACAGAGGAGAGAUUUUAUCACUGCAGAUCUUGGAGUCUUCCCCGGCAAGUGCUCCAGCCAUACCACCCAAGUGACAGACAACAAAGGCAGGGACUGAGAGAAUGCAGAACCACCCACUGUACAAGAAGAUCAGGUUUGAGAACAACUAAGGCAUCUGAAGGUGCACAAGGUCAUGGGACCUGAUGAGAUACAUGCGUGGGGCCUGAGGGAACUGGUGAGGGAA
Molecule: long non-coding RNA, 838 nt
Organism: Neopelma chrysocephalum (saffron-crested tyrant-manakin)
Lineage: Eukaryota; Metazoa; Chordata; Aves; Passeriformes; Pipridae
Exons: 3
Source: RefSeq, a predicted model, not a curated record